GUGGGGAAUAUUGCACAAUGGGGGGAACCCUGAUGCAGCGACGCCGCGUGAGUGAAGAAGUAUUUCGGUAUGUAAAGCUCUAUCAGCAGGAACGAAGAUGACGGUACCUGACUAAGAAGCCCCGGCUAACUACGUGCCAGCAGCCGCGGUAAUACGUAGGGGGCAAGCGUUAUCCGGAUUUACUGGGUGUAAAGGGAGCGUAGACGGCGAGGCAAGUCUGGAGUGAAAGCCCAAGGCUCAACCAUGGGACUGCUCUGGAAACUGUCAGGCUGGAGUGCGGGAGGGGUAAGCGGAAUUCCUAGUGUAGCGGUGAAAUGCGUAGAUAUUAGGAGGAACACCGGCGGCGAAGGCGGCUUACUGGACCGUAACUGACGUUGAGGCUCGAAAGCGUGGGGAGCAAACAGGA
RNAcentral lists this ribosomal RNA (406 nucleotides) under uncultured bacterium. RNAcentral's name for it is "bacterial SSU rRNA". It matches the Rfam family "Bacterial small subunit ribosomal RNA", at positions 354 to 777 of the family's 1533-position model. The record is from RNAcentral.